Molecule: transfer RNA, 75 nt
Filed under: Coriobacteriaceae bacterium
Lineage: Bacteria; Bacillati; Actinomycetota; Coriobacteriia; Coriobacteriales; Coriobacteriaceae
Description: tRNA-Gly
Rfam family: tRNA
About the family: Transfer RNA (tRNA) molecules are approximately 80 nucleotides in length. Their secondary structure includes four short double-helical elements and three loops (D, anti-codon, and T loops). Further hydrogen bonds mediate the characteristic L-shaped molecular structure. tRNAs have two regions of fundamental functional importance: the anti-codon, which is responsible for specific mRNA codon recognition, and the 3' end, to which the tRNAs corresponding amino acid is attached (by aminoacyl-tRNA synthetases). tRNAs cope with the degeneracy of the genetic code in two manners: having more than one tRNA (with a specific anti-codon) for a particular amino acid; and 'wobble' base-pairing, i.e. permitting non-standard base-pairing at the 3rd anti-codon position.
Source: RNAcentral
GCGGGUAUGGUCUAACGGCUAUGACAUCUGCCUUCCAAGCAGAAGGUACGGGUUCGAUUCCCGUUACCCGCUCCA